RNAcentral lists this ribosomal RNA (391 nucleotides) under uncultured bacterium. RNAcentral's name for it is "bacterial SSU rRNA". It matches the Rfam family "Bacterial small subunit ribosomal RNA", at positions 28 to 419 of the family's 1533-position model. The record is from RNAcentral.
GACGAACGCUGGCGGCGUGCUUAACACAUGCAAGUCGAGCGGUAAGGCCCCUUCGGGGGUACGACGAGCGGCGAACGGGUGAGUAACACGUGGGUGACCUGCCCUCAGCUCUGGGAUAAGCCUGGGAAACUGGGUCUAAUACCGGAUAUGACUCCAUGACGCAUGUCGUGGGGUGGAAAGCCUUGUGCGGCUGGGGAUGGGCCCGCGGCCUAUCAGCUUGUUGGUGGGGUGAUGGCCUACCAAGGCGACGACGGGUAGCCGGCCUGAGAGGGCGACCGGCCACACUGGGACUGAGACACGGCCCAGACUCCUACGGGAGGCAGCAGUGGGGAAUCUUGCGCAAUGGGCGAAAGCCUGACGCAGCGACGCCGCGUGAGGGAUGACGGCCUGG